This 261-nucleotide ribosomal RNA is filed under the name uncultured Megasphaera sp. RNAcentral's name for it is "partial 16S ribosomal RNA". It matches the Rfam family "Bacterial small subunit ribosomal RNA", at positions 111 to 354 of the family's 1533-position model. Lineage: Bacteria; Bacillati; Bacillota; Negativicutes; Veillonellales; Veillonellaceae. The record is from RNAcentral.
UAACGCGUAAACAACCUGCCCUUCGGAUGGGGAUAACAGCCGGAAACGGCUGCUAAUACCGAAUACGAUCUUUUCGUCGCAUGACGGAAAGAAGAAAGGAUGGCCUCUAUACAAAGCUAUCGCCGAAGGAGGGGUUUGCGUCUGAUUAGCUGGUUGGAGGGGUAACGGCCCAACAAGGCGAUGAUCAGUAGCCGGUCUGAGAGGAUGAACGGCCACAUUGGGACUGAGACACGGCCCAGACUCCUACGGGAGGCAGCAGAU